Molecule: ribosomal RNA, 2893 nt
Filed under: Escherichia coli
Lineage: Bacteria; Pseudomonadati; Pseudomonadota; Gammaproteobacteria; Enterobacterales; Enterobacteriaceae
Description: bacterial LSU rRNA
Rfam family: Bacterial large subunit ribosomal RNA
Source: RNAcentral
UUAAGCGACUAAGCGUACACGGUGGAUGCCCUGGCAGUCAGAGGCGAUGAAGGACGUGCUAAUCUGCGAUAAGCGUCGGUAAGGUGAUAUGAACCGUUAUAACCGGCGAUUUCCGAAUGGGGAAACCCAGUGUGUUUCGACACACUAUCAUUAACUGAAUCCAUAGGUUAAUGAGGCGAACCGGGGGAACUGAAACAUCUAAGUACCCCGAGGAAAAGAAAUCAACCGAGAUUCCCCCAGUAGCGGCGAGCGAACGGGGAGCAGCCCAGAGCCUGAAUCAGUGUGUGUGUUAGUGGAAGCGUCUGGAAAGGCGCGCGAUACAGGGUGACAGCCCCGUACACAAAAAUGCACAUGCUGUGAGCUCGAUGAGUAGGGCGGGACACGUGGUAUCCUGUCUGAAUAUGGGGGGACCAUCCUCCAAGGCUAAAUACUCCUGACUGACCGAUAGUGAACCAGUACCGUGAGGGAAAGGCGAAAAGAACCCCGGCGAGGGGAGUGAAAAAGAACCUGAAACCGUGUACGUACAAGCAGUGGGAGCNGUGACUGCGUACCUUUUGUAUAAUGGGUCAGCGACUUAUAUUCUGUAGCAAGGUUAACCGAAUAGGGGAGCCGAAGGGAAACCGAGUCUUAACUGGGCGUUAAGUUGCAGGGUAUAGACCCGAAACCCGGUGAUCUAGCCAUGGGCAGGUUGAAGGUUGGGUAACACUAACUGGAGGACCGAACCGACUAAUGUUGAAAAAUUAGCGGAUGACUUGUGGCUGGGGGUGAAAGGCCAAUCAAACCGGGAGAUAGCUGGUUCUCCCCGAAAGCUAUUUAGGUAGCGCCUCGUGAAUUCAUCUCCGGGGGUAGAGCACUGUUUCGGCAAGGGGGUCAUCCCGACUUACCAACCCGAUGCAAACUGCGAAUACCGGAGAAUGUUAUCACGGGAGACACACGGCGGGUGCUAACGUCCGUCGUGAAGAGGGAAACAACCCAGACCGCCAGCUAAGGUCCCAAAGUCAUGGUUAAGUGGGAAACGAUGUGGGAAGGCCCAGACAGCCAGGAUGUUGGCUUAGAAGCAGCCAUCAUUUAAAGAAAGCGUAAUAGCUCACUGGUCGAGUCGGCCUGCGCGGAAGAUGUAACGGGGCUAAACCAUGCACCGAAGCUGCGGCAGCGACGCUUAUGCGUUGUUGGGUAGGGGAGCGUUCUGUAAGCCUGUGAAGGUGUGCUGUGAGGCAUGCUGGAGGUAUCAGAAGUGCGAAUGCUGACAUAAGUAACGAUAAAGCGGGUGAAAAGCCCGCUCGCCGGAAGACCAAGGGUUCCUGUCCAACGUUAAUCGGGGCAGGGUGAGUCGACCCCUAAGGCGAGGCCGAAAGGCGUAGUCGAUGGGAAACAGGUUAAUAUUCCUGUACUUGGUGUUACUGCGAAGGGGGGACGGAGAAGGCUAUGUUGGCCGGGCGACGGUUGUCCCGGUUUAAGCGUGUAGGCUGGUUUUCCAGGCAAAUCCGGAAAAUCAAGGCUGAGGCGUGAUGACGAGGCACUACGGUGCUGAAGCAACAAAUGCCCUGCUUCCAGGAAAAGCCUCUAAGCAUCAGGUAACAUCAAAUCGUACCCCAAACCGACACAGGUGGUCAGGUAGAGAAUACCAAGGCGCUUGAGAGAACUCGGGUGAAGGAACUAGGCAAAAUGGUGCCGUAACUUCGGGAGAAGGCACGCUGAUAUGUAGGUGAGGUCCCUCGCGGAUGGAGCUGAAAUCAGUCGAAGAUACCAGCUGGCUGCAACUGUUUAUUAAAAACACAGCACUGUGCAAACACGAAAGUGGACGUAUACGGUGUGACGCCUGCCCGGUGCCGGAAGGUUAAUUGAUGGGGUUAGCGGUAACGCGAAGCUCUUGAUCGAAGCCCCGGUAAACGGCGGCCGUAACUAUAACGGUCCUAAGGUAGCGAAAUUCCUUGUCGGGUAAGUUCCGACCUGCACGAAUGGCGUAAUGAUGGCCAGGCUGUCUCCACCCGAGACUCAGUGAAAUUGAACUCGCUGUGAAGAUGCAGUGUACCCGCGGCAAGACGGAAAGACCCCGUGAACCUUUACUAUAGCUUGACACUGAACAUUGAGCCUUGAUGUGUAGGAUAGGUGGGAGGCUUUGAAGUGUGGACGCCAGUCUGCAUGGAGCCGACCUUGAAAUACCACCCUUUAAUGUUUGAUGUUCUAACGUUGACCCGUAAUCCGGGUUGCGGACAGUGUCUGGUGGGUAGUUUGACUGGGGCGGUCUCCUCCUAAAGAGUAACGGAGGAGCACGAAGGUUGGCUAAUCCUGGUCGGACAUCAGGAGGUUAGUGCAAUGGCAUAAGCCAGCUUGACUGCGAGCGUGACGGCGCGAGCAGGUGCGAAAGCAGGUCAUAGUGAUCCGGUGGUUCUGAAUGGAAGGGCCAUCGCUCAACGGAUAAAAGGUACUCCGGGGAUAACAGGCUGAUACCGCCCAAGAGUUCAUAUCGACGGCGGUGUUUGGCACCUCGAUGUCGGCUCAUCACAUCCUGGGGCUGAAGUAGGUCCCAAGGGUAUGGCUGUUCGCCAUUUAAAGUGGUACGCGAGCUGGGUUUAGAACGUCGUGAGACAGUUCGGUCCCUAUCUGCCGUGGGCGCUGGAGAACUGAGGGGGGCUGCUCCUAGUACGAGAGGACCGGAGUGGACGCAUCACUGGUGUUCGGGUUGUCAUGCCAAUGGCACUGCCCGGUAGCUAAAUGCGGAAGAGAUAAGUGCUGAAAGCAUCUAAGCACGAAACUUGCCCCGAGAUGAGUUCUCCCUGACUCCUUGAGAGUCCUGAAGGAACGUUGAAGACGACGACGUUGAUAGGCCGGGUGUGUAAGCGCAGCGAUGCGUUGAGCUAACCGGUACUAAUGAACCGUGAGGCUUAACCUU